Long non-coding RNA from Conger conger (European conger), 540 nucleotides. RefSeq lists it as uncharacterized. The record is from RefSeq and is a predicted model, not a curated record. The transcript has 3 exons. NCBI's taxonomy places the organism in Eukaryota, Metazoa, Chordata, Actinopteri, Anguilliformes, Congridae.
GAUAACGUGUUGUUAUUUUGCGUAGUGCGUCUGCGGAGCAUUCGCCAGCAACACUUCGCCGUUCGGUUGAGGCAGUCCAACCACACCUCAUUACGGAGUGAUUUUGUUUUAUCUGAGCCAGUGCUAAAGCGCUUGUGUUCCCGGAGCGUACACACCUGCGGGGAGAGUAUCGAUCAGACCGCAUCCUCUGGGCCCAAUUUAAGCACUCAAGGACCUGGCCGCGGUAAAUCCUGACGCCUUAUAAAAGAGAUUCAAAAAGCUGUUUCAAAAUGAGAAGAAAUCAUAAGCAUGGAGAAAGUCUACUCAGACUGAAACUAUCUUUUGUUGUGGUGAGCUUCAGCAUGAUUCGCCUAACCUUGCAGAAGAAACCAGCGCUCCUUGUCUUCAGCCUGUCAUGGCAGUGAAGGUACUUGCCCAUAAAUACGAGUGGUAUUUCAGCCAUAGUUAUACCUCUGGUCUUAAUGAGGGUGUGAUCUUCUGACUCAAAAUGCAGAUGGAGGCAAAAAAAAACAACUAGACACGUGCUGCUGUUGUGUGAAC